This 387-nucleotide ribosomal RNA is filed under the name uncultured bacterium. RNAcentral describes it as "bacterial SSU rRNA". It matches the Rfam family "Bacterial small subunit ribosomal RNA", at positions 30 to 419 of the family's 1533-position model. The record is from RNAcentral.
AUUGAACGCUGGCGGCAUGCCUUACACAUGCAAGUCGAACGGCAGCGGACCUUCGGGUGCCGGCGAGUGGCGAACGGGUGAGUAAUAUAUCGGAACGUACCUUCCAGUGGGGGAUAACGUAGCGAAAGUUACGCUAAUACCGCAUAUUCUGUGAGCAGGAAAGCAGGGGAUCGCAAGACCUUGCGCUGAUUGAGCGGCCGAUAUCAGAUUAGCUAGUUGGUGAGGUAAAGGCUCACCAAGGCGACGAUCUGUAGCGGGUCUGAGAGGAUGAUCCGCCACACUGGAACUGAGACACGGUCCAGACUCCUACGGGAGGCAGCAGUGGGGAAUUUUGGACAAUGGGCGCAAGCCUGAUCCAGCCAUGCCGCGUGAGUGAAGAAGGCCUGG